Molecule: ribosomal RNA, 489 nt
Filed under: uncultured bacterium
Lineage: Bacteria
Description: partial 16S ribosomal RNA
Rfam family: Bacterial small subunit ribosomal RNA
Source: RNAcentral
GACGAACGCUGGCGGCGUGCUUAACACAUGCAAGUCGAACGGUGAAGGGACCAGCUUGCUGGUUCUGGAUGAGUGGCGAACGGGUGAGUAACACGUGAGUAACCUGCCCCCUUCUUCUGGAUAACCGCAUGAAAGUGUGGCUAAUACGGGAUAUUCUGGGUCUGUCGCAUGGCGGGCCCGGGAAAGAUAUUGCUUCGGUGGGGGAUGGGCUCGCGGCCUAUCAGCUUGUUGGUGGGGUGAUGGCCUACCAAGGCGGUGACGGGUAGCCGGCCUGAGAGGGUGGGCGGUCACACUGGGACUGAGACACGGCCCAGACUCCUACGGGAGGCAGCAGUGGGGAAUAUUGCACAAGGGGCGCAAGCCUGAUGCAGCGACGCCGCGUGAGGGAUGGAGGCCUUCGGGUUGUAAACCUCUUUCGCCAGUGAAGCAGGCCUGCUCCUUGUGGGUGGGUUGACGGUAGCUGGAUAAGAAGCGCCGGCUAACUACGUG